AGAAGAGGAUGGAGGUAGACCGACGAGGUACUUUUUGUUUUGUGAGUGAGGACGAUCGAUCGUCGACGGAAGAACACAAGUAUUUGGGAGUGAGGAGGAGGAGUGGGUAGAGGGGGAGACAGGAAGACCAACGUAAAGCUGGUAGCCAGCUCUACCUCUACGUCCGCUUCCGCCGCUCCCCGCCCUUCUCCUCGUCCUGCUCGCCGCCGUGCUGCCGCUGCUCCCAUCACGUCUCCUUCCUCCGUCUCUCCCUCUCCUCCGUCGUGUACUUCCGGGAGACGCGGUUCGAAUGGAGGGAGUAGGGUUUUCUUGUGAAGAGGUUGGGACUAUGCUACUGGGUCGAUUCGUCGGACCUACUCCGACGCAGUAUGUAGUUCUUCGAGUUUCUCUCCCACCUGCUCGACGUUGUAUCCUCCUUGAGACGUGUUCGUUACCGAUGGCGUUCUCCCCGAUCACCACGGAGUUACGGGUGGUAGUGGGGAUGGUGCUCACCACCACGUCCCAGUGGUCUUCCUCUCUUUGUAACCCUCCGUAACCGUGGCCACCACCUCCACGUUGUUGUGCUACUAUGUUCGUACCUACACCACGACCAUACGUCGUUUCUCUCCGGCUAGUACGAGGUGGUCCACUAGUGGUAGGAGCUCCUUCUUCCGCGGCUCCAGCAGUUACGGUUAGUGAGGUAACGACCGGUGUUUUAGAAGAUGUGGUAUGUGAGGGCCCAUACAUGUAUAUAUCCAUAUCGGAAAGUGUAGACGUGUUCUUUUAUGUUGGGUACAACAUUUUAUAAUCCGUGUGUACUCAGGCUCAUAUGCAAAACUGGUAUUGACAAAUGAAAGACACAGGCAUAGAUAAUCUCCCUAAGUGCAAACAAAGAUCACAUGGAUGUGUAUAACUUCAUUUGAUUACCGUAUAUGUGUUCACUUUCUGUGUUUCCCUUGUACUUUCACUACGUAUAUGUGUAUGUACUUUUUAUACCUUGGCAUCUAAGGAGAGAUACAUCCUUCUCUAUUUUAACUCCUUUCGAUCUAUUUCUCAAACUUUUACUGGAAUCUAUAUGUGUACACGGUGUGUGUAAAAUUAAGGAAAGAAAAAGAGAAGGGCCGGGAGGUAGACGAUGUUAAAUUCAGAAUUUAAGUUAGAUGGCACUGACCUUUUUCAGAAAUUAACAUACUAAUUCUUGAAGAAAGGUAGAUUUAUAUUUAUAUUAAACCAUGAUGGAAAAGGUACUUCAAUUGUACCCAAUUAAUCAACGCAGUUAAUUAAAGGAGAGAGAUAGAACACGUCCGGAAGUCGAGCUCUUAACCGUAUCUACAAAGUUCACAAAGGCUUUCUGACUCUCGUAACCAUACUAUCAUUUAAACAAACAUAUUUUAUAUAUAGGGUAUUGAUAUAUAUUUCUCUUUUAGGGCGUAUACCAUGUAUACAGAUCAAUAAUCGAUCUUCUUGCCCUACCCUUGUGGGAAGUCAUCGAUAUAUUGUAGAAGAAGUACAACAAAAGUGUUGUACUAGUUACAUACCUUUUCCUACAACUGACUAGACACUAAAAAGUGACUGAAGACCCGACAGUGCCGAACAACAACCAACGACCUCAUAAAAGUCUUAUUCGAAUAUAAGUACAUAACGAGCUAUAAGACCGAUACACUAACGUACCACGUCUACGAGUUAUAAUAGGGGU
Molecule: ribosomal RNA, 1675 nt
Filed under: Triticum aestivum (bread wheat)
Lineage: Eukaryota; Viridiplantae; Streptophyta; Magnoliopsida; Poales; Poaceae
Description: partial small subunit ribosomal RNA
Source: RNAcentral